UUCGCAAUGCCCGAAAGGGUGACGAAGCGACGCCGCGUGUGGGAAGAAGGCCUUCGGGUUGUAAACCACUGUCGGGAGUUAAGAAAUGCAAGAAUGUUAAUAGUGUUUUUGCUUGACUAAGGCUCCGGAAGAAGCCACGGCUAACUCUGUGCCAGCAGCCGCGGUAAUACAGAGGCGGCAAGCGUUGUUCGGAAUUAUUGGGCGUAAAGAGCACGUAGGCGGCUAUAUAAGUCGGUUGUGAAAGCCUUCCGCUCAACGGGAGAACAGCAUCCGAUACUGUAUGGCUUGAGUGUGGGAGGGGAGAGCGGAACUUCUGGUGGAGCGGUGAAAUGCGUAGAUAUCAGAAGGAACGCCGGCGGCGAAAGCGGCUCUCUGGCCCAUAACUGACGCUGAGUGUGCGAAAGCUAGGGGAGCAAACGGGAUUAGAUACCCCGGUAGUCCUAGCCGUAAACGAUGGGCACUAAGUAGAGGGGUUUU
RNAcentral lists this ribosomal RNA (477 nucleotides) under uncultured bacterium. RNAcentral describes it as "bacterial SSU rRNA". It matches the Rfam family "Bacterial small subunit ribosomal RNA", at positions 365 to 832 of the family's 1533-position model. The record is from RNAcentral.